GGUCGCGUGAUCUAGUUGGUUAUGAUGCUGCCUUGACGUGACAGCUUAAAUGUCCCCAGUUCAAGUCUGGGCGCGACCACCA
This 82-nucleotide transfer RNA is filed under the name Promethearchaeota archaeon. RNAcentral's name for it is "Candidatus Lokiarchaeota archaeon (marine sediment metagenome) tRNA-Val". The record is from RNAcentral. Lineage: Archaea; Promethearchaeati; Promethearchaeota.